This 238-nucleotide ribosomal RNA is filed under the name uncultured bacterium. Its description in RNAcentral is "partial 16S ribosomal RNA". It matches the Rfam family "Bacterial small subunit ribosomal RNA", at positions 15 to 244 of the family's 1533-position model. The record is from RNAcentral.
GAUCCUGGCUCAGGAUGAACGCUAGCUACAGGCUUAACACAUGCAAGUCGAGGGGCAGCGGGAUUGAAGCUUGCUUCAAUUGCCGGCGACCGGCGCACGGGUGAGUAACGUGUAUCCAACCUUCCGUACACUCAGGGAUAGCCUUUCGAAAGAAAGAUUAAUACCUGAUGGUAUCUUAAGCACACAUGUAAUUAAGAUUAAAGAUUUAUCGGUAUGAGAUGGACCCGCGUCUGAUUAG